GCCGGGCUACGUGGUUCUCUCACCUCAGCCUCCCAAAGUGUUAGGGUUGCAGGUGUGAGUCACCAUGCCUGGCCCUUCACAGGUAUUUUGUAAGCAACCAGUAGAAUCAUUUUACAAUCACACUAUAUUAUGUAAUCAUUUAAUGUUAGUGCUUAAUGACAAAAGUUUGGACAUGAAGCUACAUGACCAGCAAGCUCAAACUUACGCCAAACACAUAUGCAUAGAAAAGAUGGAGCCGGGUGUGGUGGUGCACACCUGAAGUCCCAGCUACUCAGGAAGCCAACGCGGGAGGAUUGCUUGAGCCUAGGAGUCUCAGACCAGCCUGCGUGACAUAAUGAGACCUCGGCUCU
Long non-coding RNA from Sapajus apella (tufted capuchin), 350 nucleotides. RefSeq lists it as uncharacterized. The record is from RefSeq and is a predicted model, not a curated record. The transcript is spliced from 2 exons. Lineage: Eukaryota; Metazoa; Chordata; Mammalia; Primates; Cebidae.